This 569-nucleotide long non-coding RNA is filed under the name Nicotiana benthamiana. Its description in RNAcentral is "long non-coding RNA (NBEN_LNC014225)". Lineage: Eukaryota; Viridiplantae; Streptophyta; Magnoliopsida; Solanales; Solanaceae. The record is from RNAcentral.
GCAGAAACAGUUCUUGUUGGAUCAAUAACAACUGCAAGAAAGGGCUCCUGAUAUUGCUGGUUAAGCAUUUGUGUGGUAACAUCAAUGCCAGAGAGCCAGCAUCCAUAACCAGGAUGAGAAUGGUACCACCCAACCACAUUUUCCAGCCGACCAGCCUAUACCAAAAACUGAGUAAGAGAAUGGUCUGAACAAACUACAUCCAUAACCUUCCAAUGAGAGAUCAAUUGAGACACAAUGCAGAAAAUCCUACAUACAAAUGCACACAGCCUAAACACAUUUUCCAGCCGACCAGCCUAUACGAAAAACUGAGUAAGAGAAUGGUCUGAACAAACUACAUCCAUAACCUUCCAAUGAGAGAUCAAUUGAGACACAAUGCAGAAAAUCCUACAUACAAAUGCACACAGCCUAAAAUUUAAGCAACUCAAAAGAAUUUCUAGGUGCAACAAGAUUGAAUUCCGUGACCAGUGGAAGAUCUUUGACCAGAAGCUCUAAUAAACUGCAAGGUUACUAACUCCUGAUAGAGACAGAGGUAUUUAUAAAUACAAUUAGAAGCUCCAAAUAAAUACUUA